AUGUACCACUCGUACACUCCGCUUCCUCCGCGCCAUCCACGCCCCACCUGACGGCUGCUCGCUACGCUUUGUUAGCC
Molecule: small RNA, 77 nt
Filed under: Xanthomonas hortorum pv. pelargonii
Lineage: Bacteria; Pseudomonadati; Pseudomonadota; Gammaproteobacteria; Lysobacterales; Lysobacteraceae
Description: sX9 sRNA
Rfam family: Xanthomonas sRNA sX9
Source: RNAcentral